UGAGUUAUUAAAAGUCAACGAGGUUUUGAUGGGCUGUUGGGUGUUGAAUUAGAUAGAUUGUCCCUCUUCAUCAAUAUCUUGUUGUAUUAUUCUCAGCUGUAAUUCAUCAUCACCAUCAUUUGCAAAUAACAUUUCGGUGGUCGACGAACAACAUUAACAAAUAAAUACGUGAAAGAUAUAUAUAUAUAUAUAUAUCUAUUCCGCUCGUAAUCACAUGUACCUAUACGUGUAUUAUAAGUAUACAAAAAGAAUUGGGACGUACGUUCACAAUAUUUAAGAUUUAUUUCAGAAUCGCCUAGCAGACAGCCUUGCAGAAGCUGCUGUCUGAACGAGGCAUCCUGAGAAAGGAACCGACCAUUGCCAUGAAAACCAGCUUCAAAGAGAAAGCAGAGAAGAACCCGCUUUCGUACAUAAAUACUGUUCAAUCAAGAAGCAAAGUCAUGAUAAGUGCAAGGGAACUUAUAUACGUUGAGGAGAAAUGGGCUUGUUUGAUCUUCUUGCUGCUGUUGUUACUUAGUUUGUGAGUUUUAAGACAAUAGAUGAGAGGAGUGCAGAAAAGGCCGCUGUUCUUUCUUUUUCUUCCUCUAGUUUCGAUCAAUCUGUUUGAUCUUUGAUACUUGAAUCUGCUUUAUGGAUCCAGUCUCUGUUGGAGAGAUGUUUAAGCAUCAGAUGUGGGAUGUGAAUCUGAGUUUGAGAUUUGAUCAAAUGAUAAGCAUCUGAGUUCUUCUGUUGGAUGAACAUUAUAUCGAAACUAACCUUAUUUUGUUACA
This is a long non-coding RNA of Tarenaya hassleriana, 770 nucleotides long. RefSeq lists it as uncharacterized. The transcript has 2 exons. NCBI's taxonomy places the organism in Eukaryota, Viridiplantae, Streptophyta, Magnoliopsida, Brassicales, Cleomaceae. The record is from RefSeq and is a predicted model, not a curated record.